Molecule: ribosomal RNA, 2935 nt
Rfam family: Bacterial large subunit ribosomal RNA
GGGUUGUGAGGUUAAGUGACUAAGCGUACACGGUGGAUGCCUAGGCAGUCAGAGGCGAUGAAGGGCGUGCUAAUCUGCGAAAAGCGUCGGUAAGGUGAUAUGAACCGUUACAACCGGCGAUACCCGAAUGGGGAAACCCAGUGUGUUUCGACACACUAUCAUGUCAUGAAUACAUAGUGGCAUGAGGCGAACCGGGGGAACUGAAACAUCUAAGUACCCCGAGGAAAAGAAAUCAACCGAGAUUCCCCCAGUAGCGGCGAGCGAACGGGGAGGAGCCCAGAACCUGAAUCGGCUUGUGUGUUAGUGGAAGCGUCUGGAAAGUCGCGCAGCAAAGGGUGAUAGCCCCGUACACUAAAAUGCACAGGUCGUGAGUUCGAUGAGUAGGGCGGGACACGUGACAUCCUGUCUGAAUAUGGGGGGACCAUCCUCCAAGGCUAAAUACUCCUGACUGACCGAUAGUGAACCAGUACCGUGAGGGAAAGGCGAAAAGAACCCCGGCGAGGGGAGUGAAAUAGAACCUGAAACCGUGUACGUACAAGCAGUGGGAGCACCUUCGUGGUGUGACUGCGUACCUUUUGUAUAAUGGGUCAGCGACUUAUAUUUUGUAGCAAGGUUAACCGUAUAGGGGAGCCGUAGGGAAACCGAGUCUUAACUGGGCGAAUAGUUGCAAGGUAUAGACCCGAAACCCGGUGAUCUAGCCAUGGGCAGGUUGAAGGUUGGGUAACACUAACUGGAGGACCGAACCGACUAAUGUUGAAAAAUUAGCGGAUGACUUGUGGCUGGGGGUGAAAGGCCAAUCAAACCGGGAGAUAGCUGGUUCUCCCCGAAAGCUAUUUAGGUAGCGCCUCGUGAACUCAUCUUCGGGGGUAGAGCACUGUUUCGGCUAGGGGGCCAUCCCGGCUUACCAAACCGAUGCAAACUCCGAAUACCGAAGAAUGUUAUCACGGGAGACACACGGCGGGUGCUAACGUCCGUCGUGAAGAGGGAAACAACCCAGACCGCCAGCUAAGGUCCCAAAGUCAUGGUUAAGUGGGAAACGAUGUGGGAAGGCAUAGACAGCCAGGAUGUUGGCUUAGAAGCAGCCAUCAUUUAAAGAAAGCGUAAUAGCUCACUGGUCGAGUCGGCCUGCGCGGAAGAUGUAACGGGGCUAAACCAUGCACCGAAGCUGCGGCAGCGACGCUUAGGCGUUGUUGGGUAGGGGAGCGUUCUGUAAGCCGUUGAAGGUGGCCUGUGAGGGUUGCUGGAGGUAUCAGAAGUGCGAAUGCUGACAUAAGUAACGAUAAAGCGGGUGAAAAGCCCGCUCGCCGGAAGACCAAGGGUUCCUGUCCAACGUUAAUCGGGGCAGGGUGAGUCGACCCCUAAGGCGAGGCUGAAAAGCGUAGUCGAUGGGAAACAGGUUAAUAUUCCUGUACUUGGUGUUACUGCGAAGGGGGGACGGAGAAGGCUAGGCUAGCCGGGCGACGGUUGUCCCGGUUUAAGCGUGUAGGGGGUGUGACCUGGUAAAUCCGGUUACAUAUCAACCCUGAGGCGUGAUGACGAUGCACUACGGUGCAGAAGUAGUUGAUGCCCUGCUUCCAGGAAAAGCCUCUAAGCUCCAGGUAACAUUGAAUCGUACCCCAAACCGACACAGGUGGUCAGGUAGAGAAUACCAAGGCGCUUGAGAGAACUCGGGUGAAGGAACUAGGCAAAAUGGUGCCGUAACUUCGGGAGAAGGCACGCUGGCAUGUAGGUGAAGUCCCUUGCGGAUGGAGCUGAAGCCAGUCGAAGAUACCAGCUGGCUGCAACUGUUUAAUAAAAACACAGCACUGUGCAAACACGAAAGUGGACGUAUACGGUGUGACGCCUGCCCGGUGCUGGAAGGUUAAUUGAUGGGGUCAGCCGCAAGGCGAAGCUCUUGAUCGAAGCCCCAGUAAACGGCGGCCGUAACUAUAACGGUCCUAAGGUAGCGAAAUUCCUUGUCGGGUAAGUUCCGACCUGCACGAAUGGCGUAAUGAUGGCCAGGCUGUCUCCACCCGAGACUCAGUGAAAUUGAACUCGCUGUGAAGAUGCAGUGUACCCGCGGCAAGACGGAAAGACCCCGUGAACCUUUACUAUAGCUUGACACUGAACAUUGAGCCUUGAUGUGUAGGAUAGGUGGGAGGCUUUGAAGCGUGGACGCCAGUCUGCGUGGAGCCAUCCUUGAAAUACCACCCUUUAAUGUUUGAUGUUCUAACUCGGCCCCAUAAUCUGGGGUGAGGACAGUGUCUGGUGGGUAGUUUGACUGGGGCGGUCUCCUCCCAAAGAGUAACGGAGGAGCACGAAGGUUAGCUAAUCACGGUCGGACAUCGUGAGGUUAGUGCAAAGGCAUAAGCUAGCUUGACUGCGAGAGUGACGGCUCGAGCAGGUACGAAAGUAGGUCUUAGUGAUCCGGUGGUUCUGAAUGGAAGGGCCAUCGCUCAACGGAUAAAAGGUACUCCGGGGAUAACAGGCUGAUACCGCCCAAGAGUUCAUAUCGACGGCGGUGUUUGGCACCUCGAUGUCGGCUCAUCACAUCCUGGGGCUGAAGUAGGUCCCAAGGGUAUGGCUGUUCGCCAUUUAAAGUGGUACGCGAGCUGGGUUUAGAACGUCGUGAGACAGUUCGGUCCCUAUCUGCCGUGGGCGUUGGAAGAUUGAGAGGGGUUGCUCCUAGUACGAGAGGACCGGAGUGAACGCACCACUGGUGUUCGGGUUGUCAUGCCAAUGGCAUUGCCCGGUAGCUAAGUGCGGAAAAGAUAAGCGCUGAAAGCAUCUAAGCGCGAAACUUGCCUCAAGAUGAGUCUUCCCUGGACCUUUAAGGUCCCUGAAGGAACGUUUAAGACUAAGACGUUGAUAGGCUGGGUGUGUAAGUGCAGCGAUGCAUUGAGCUAACCAGUACUAAUGAUCCGUGAGGCUUAACCUUACAACACCGAAGGUGUUU